UGACUACCUUAUUAGCUGCAAAUUACUACAGCUAUUACAUUGUUAAGUUGAACCAAAUUUUCUUUGGCUGAAAUUGUUAAAUUACCUAAAGAUUAUAUUAUAUGCCAGUUAUAAAUGGUCAUUAUAGUUUGUUGCUGCAUUCAUUAAUUUUGUUAAUACUUAGAAAAUUUGUAGACAUUUGCUUAGAAGUUGUGCAAACACGAUUUUUUUGCAAAACUAUAAUAUGGAAAUUGGUUCAAUAUGGUUUCUAUUUAGAGGCUAUGCAGAUUUAUUAUAUAUAAUAGUAGAAGCCUUUAAGGAGGUACUGCCACAUUAGGAAAAAAGGCCACUUAAAAUGCUGCCAUGUUUACAAUGAAGAAGCGAAAAGUUAUAUUUCUUGACAACUUGACACCGUUUGAUUUUCUAUGAGUAUAUAAAAAAAACGGUUAAAAUAAAAUUAAAAAAAAAAAAAAAAAGAGGCUUGCAACUAAAAAAACACGAGCGAUACAGAGAAAGGGAAGGAGAGAAAAAAAAAGCUUGCGAUACAGGGGAAAGACAGAGUUCAUGCGGCCGGCCAUCACCAUCCCUUGCCAGACUUAGACCACCGGAACCGGCACCAGUAACCUAAAGGUGCAUGCAGGAAUUGAGAUGCGGAGAUAGAGAGAACUACCACCGGUAUUUGGGUUACAUUUGGUUUGGAUUUUAAAAGAGAAGAGAGGCUAUGGUGAUUUUCUCUUAAUGGGAUUUCGCCAGAAUCAUCUGACUGUUGGGAAGACAAUACGGUAUAAACCUCCCCCUUUGCAGUUGGUUGGCCAAUCAUUAAUUCUAUUAAGGAUUGGAUUUAGAAUGUCAGUGCAUUUGCAUCAAGUAGAAUUCAUGUAUGUAAUUUCAGCCAAUCUGAUGUAGAUAUGGGAAUAAGGAAAAAGUAUACCACUAAUGCUUGGGAAGCCUAAGUAUACCACUGAUAAUAUAGCAGUCCUAUAGUUAUGCCAGAUUAUUUUUGUCCAAGAUCAGUAUUAUGCAGAAGCAGCAUGUUGAUUCAUUGGUCUGGAAUCCAUGGGAUAAGAAAUCAAAAUCAAUGGUAGAUUUUGGUGAUAAGGAGUACAAACAGAUGCUUUGUGUUGAUGGAGCAGCAAUUGAGAAACCUAUCACUUUGAAGCCAGAGGAGGAAUGGACAGGGCGAUUGCAGCUCUCAAUUGUGCCUUCAAGUUUCUGUAGCGAGUACCUCAAUCUUUAGGAGAGGUCCUUUGAGGAAUGCUACAAAAUUUCAAGAGCACAAUGUGGUUCUUUUGUUCUUUUUCUGUCCUUAUAGGAACCUUAGUUAAUCUUAUGUAAUAGCUCUCAACUCUUUUUUGAUAAAAUAAUAGCUCUCAAGUUGUAGAAAUUGUGCAAUGAUACUUAAGAUGUACUUAGUACUUUGUAAUACCUCAGACUAUAGAGGAUAGAGGAUUGUGGGAGAGCCGCAUUUUUAAUUGAAUGGCUGCCUCAGGAAAGUGGGUACCAAACCAA
RNA transcript from Quercus lobata, 1488 nucleotides. It is a transcript of the gene named putative glucose-6-phosphate 1-epimerase, with no coding region annotated. The transcript is spliced from 6 exons. NCBI's taxonomy places the organism in Eukaryota, Viridiplantae, Streptophyta, Magnoliopsida, Fagales, Fagaceae. The record is from RefSeq and is a predicted model, not a curated record.